RNAcentral lists this ribosomal RNA (253 nucleotides) under uncultured bacterium. RNAcentral describes it as "partial 16S ribosomal RNA". It matches the Rfam family "Bacterial small subunit ribosomal RNA", at positions 524 to 776 of the family's 1533-position model. The record is from RNAcentral.
GACGAACCGAGCGAACGUUGUUCGGAAUCACUGGGCUUAAAGGGCGCGUAGGCGGGCCGCCGCGUCCGGGGUGAAAUCCUCCCGCUCAACGGGAGAACGGCCUCGGAUACGGGCGGCCUGGAGGGGGGUAGGGGCGUGCGGAACUGUGGGUGGAGCGGUGAAAUGCGUUGAUAUCCACAGGAACUCCGGUGGCGAAGGCGGCACGCUGGACCCCACCUGACGCUGAGCCGCGAAAGCCAGGGGAGCGAACGGG